AGAGUUUGAUCCUGGCUCAGAACGAACGCUGGCGGCGUGCCUAACACAUGCAAGUCGAACGAGAAAGGGGCUUCGGUCCUGAGUAAAGUGGCGCACGGGUGAGUAACACGUAGGUAACCUGCCUCUAAGAUCGGGAUAACCCGUCGAAAGACGAGCUAAUACCGGAUAAGACCACGGUCCCUUCGGGGACAGGGGUCAAAGUUAGCCUCUGCAUGCAAGCUAUCACUUAGAGAUGGGCCUGCGCACCAUUAGCUAGUUGGUAGGGUAACGGCCUACCAAGGCAAAGAUGGUUAGCUGGUCUGAGAGGAUGAUCAGCCACACUGGAACUGAGAUACGGUCCAGACUCCUACGGGAGGCAGCAGUGGGGAAUAUUGCGCAAUGGGCGAAAGCCUGACGCAGCAACGCCGCGUGGGUGAUGAAGGCCUUCGGGUCGUAAAGCUCUGUUGUUAGGGAAGAACACGUACGAGAGUAACUGCUCGUACCUUGACGGUACCUAACCAGAAAGCCACGGCUAACUACGUGCCAGCAGCCGCGGUAAUACGUAGGUGGCAAGCGUUAUCCGGAAUUAUUGGGCGUAAAGCGCGCGCAGGCGGUUUCUUAAGUCUGAUGUGAAAGCCCACGGCUCAACCGUGGAGGGUCAUUGGAAACUGGGAAACUUGAGUACAGAAGAGGAAAGCGGAAUUCCACGUGUAGCGGUGAAAUGCGUAGAGAUGUGGAGGAACACCAGUGGCGAAGGCGGCUUUCUGGUCUGUAACUGACGCUGAGGCGCGAAAGCGUGGGGAGCAAACAGGAUUAGAUACCCUGGUAGUCCACGCCGUAAACGAUGAGUGCUAAGUGUUAGAGGGUUUCCGCCCUUUAGUGCUGAAGUUAACGCAUUAAGCACUCCGCCUGGGGAGUACGGCCGCAAGGCUGAAACUCAAAGGAAUUGACGG
This 932-nucleotide ribosomal RNA is filed under the name uncultured bacterium. RNAcentral's name for it is "bacterial SSU rRNA". It matches the Rfam family "Bacterial small subunit ribosomal RNA", at positions 8 to 916 of the family's 1533-position model. The record is from RNAcentral.